GACGAACGCUGGCGGCGUGCUUAACACAUGCAAGUCGAACGGAAAGGCCCUGCUUUUGUGGGGUGCUCGAGUGGCGAACGGGUGAGUAACACGUGAGUAACCUGCCCUUGACUUUGGGAUAACUUCAGGAAACUGGGGCUAAUACCGGAUAGGAGCUCCUGCUGCAUGGUGGGGGUUGGAAAGUUUCGGCGGUUUGGGAUGGACUCGCGGCUUAUCAGCUUGUUGGUGGGGUAGUGGCUUACCAAGGCUUUGACGGGUAGCCGGCCUGAGAGGGUGAACGGCCACAUUGGGACUGCGGUACGGCCCAGUCUCCUACGGGAGGCAGCAGUGGGGAAUAUUGCACAAUGGGCGGAAGCCUGAUGCAGCAACGCCGCGUGCGGGAUGACGGCCUUCGGGUUGUAAACCGCUUUCGCCUGUGACGAAGCGUGAGUGACGGUAAUGGAUAAAGAAGCACCGGCUAACUACGUG
Molecule: ribosomal RNA, 468 nt
Filed under: uncultured bacterium
Lineage: Bacteria
Description: partial 16S ribosomal RNA
Rfam family: Bacterial small subunit ribosomal RNA
Source: RNAcentral